Molecule: ribosomal RNA, 513 nt
Filed under: uncultured Actinomycetes bacterium
Lineage: Bacteria; Bacillati; Actinomycetota; Actinomycetes
Description: bacterial SSU rRNA
Rfam family: Bacterial small subunit ribosomal RNA
Source: RNAcentral
GCGCGAAAGCGUGACGCAGCGACGCCGCGUGGGGGAUGAAGGCCCUCGGGUCGUAAACCCCUUCGGCAGGGACGAAGCGAGAGUGACGGUACCUGCAAGAAGAAGUCCCGGCUAACUACGUGCCAGCAGCCGCGGUAACACGUAGGGGACGAGCGUUGUCCGGAUUCAUUGGGCGUAAAGCGCGCGUAGGCGGUCGUGCAAGUCGGUUGUGAAAUCCCGGGGCUCAACCCCGGGACUGCGUCCGAUACUGUGCGACUGGAGGCAGGUAGGGGAGAUCGGAAUUCCUGGUGUAGCGGUGAAAUGCGCAGAUAUCAGGAGGAACACCGGUGGCGAAGGCGGAUCUCUGGGCCUUGCCUGACGCUGAGGCGCGAAAGCUAGGGGAGCGAACAGGAUUAGAUACCCUGGUAGUCCUAGCCGUAAACGUUGGGUGCUAGGUGUGGGCGGACAUCGACCCCGUCCGUGCCGAAGCUAACGCAUUAAGCACCCCGCCUGGGGAGUACGGCCGCAAGGCUA